This 450-nucleotide ribosomal RNA is filed under the name uncultured bacterium. Its description in RNAcentral is "partial 16S ribosomal RNA". It matches the Rfam family "Bacterial small subunit ribosomal RNA", at positions 354 to 796 of the family's 1533-position model. The record is from RNAcentral.
GUGGGGAAUAUUGGACAAUGGGCGAAAGCCUGAUCCAGCAAUGCCGCGUGUAGGAAGAAGGCCUUCGGGUUGUAAACUGCUUUUGUACGGAACGAAACGGUCCGGGUUAAUACCCUGGGCUAAUGACGGUACCGUAAGAAUAAGCACCGGCUAACUACGUGCCAGCAGCCGCGGUAAUACGUAGGGUGCAAGCGUUAAUCGGAAUUACUGGGCGUAAAGCGUGCGCAGGCGGUUUUGUAAGACAGGCGUGAAAUCCCCGGGCUCAACCUGGGAAUUGCGCUUGUGACUGCAAGGCUGGAGUGCGGCAGAGGGGGAUGGAAUUCCGCGUGUAGCAGUGAAAUGCGUAGAUAUGCGGAGGAACACCGAUGGCGAAGGCAAUCCCCUGGGCCUGCACUGACGCUCAUGCACGAAAGCGUGGGGAGCAAACAGGAUUAGAUACCCCGGUAGUCC